GGAACAAGGCGGGAGGGAAAGAGAGAGCCAGGGACAACAGCGUCACAUUAGAAAGCUGUCCUCUGUCAGAUGUUCUGUUGACCCACUGAGAGAGGCAUCAUUUCAGAAACAUCAGACAGACUGAAGCUCAUGGUCAAGGAGGACCUAAUGAUCUUCACCAGCAGCUCCCUCACAGGAAAUCUUCAGCAGCUCCUGUAAUCACAAAGAGAACAGAACCAUCACAAACUCAAAUAUACAUUUUAUCCCUCAAAAUUGAAAUAAAGCUGAUCCUUCUCUGUCCUCACACACUCAGGAUCUGAAGCUCUUCUCUUACAUUUUUUCAGUUCUACAGUUUAAUCCAUAGUUACUGAUUAAUUAGGAGUUACUGAAGUACAAGCUUU
Long non-coding RNA from Oreochromis niloticus (Nile tilapia), 380 nucleotides. RefSeq lists it as uncharacterized. Lineage: Eukaryota; Metazoa; Chordata; Actinopteri; Cichliformes; Cichlidae. The transcript is spliced from 2 exons. The record is from RefSeq and is a predicted model, not a curated record.